CCUUGUUCUACAGCCGUGAUGCCGCCUGUGCCACUUUUACCAUCCAAUGGCCAUGGCGGUCACUCAGAGACCUCCGGCGAUCUCUUCGCCAUCCCAUCCUCCCAUCUCCGGUGGUCUUCCCUCUCUCUCUCUCUUUCUCGUUCGUUGUGACAGCCCCAUCGGGCGAAUCGAGCCACGGCGGCUUCCGCCACCUUCCAAUGGCCGAAGAGGGCCACCGCUAGCUUUCGACGGCAUCUUCCUCUCUCUUCCUUUCCUCUCUCUGCCUAUGUUUCCCUCUCUUUCUUCCCCGACAUCGGUGUGUGCCAUUUUCUCCGUCGGAACCGUUUCGAUUCUCCACCGGUACGAUUUGGUACGCCCCAAACCGGUCGAUUCGAAAUAGUUUCGAAAAUCAUUUGUGAAUUGAUAAGUGGUAUAUUUCUACAUUUAUUUUAGAUAUUUUUGAUAAUUUAUGGUGCUAACA
RNAcentral lists this long non-coding RNA (460 nucleotides) under Elaeis guineensis (African oil palm). Its description in RNAcentral is "long non-coding RNA (EGUI_LNC044159)". The record is from RNAcentral. Lineage: Eukaryota; Viridiplantae; Streptophyta; Magnoliopsida; Arecales; Arecaceae.